UUGCUUCUGCAAAAAAUAUACUAAAAUUGGAAUGAUACAGGGAAGGCCUGGGGCAUGGCCCCUGCCCAAGGAUGACAUGCAGAUUUGUGAAGGGUUCCAUAUAUAU
Molecule: small nuclear RNA, 106 nt
Filed under: Moschus moschiferus (Siberian musk deer)
Lineage: Eukaryota; Metazoa; Chordata; Mammalia; Artiodactyla; Moschidae
Source: RNAcentral